ACUCGUAUACUCCCAAAAAUCGAAAAAAACUUCUUACCACGCUCUUGGUGUUUUUGACUUAUCAAAACAUCCUCACCCGUGGAGAUUCCUAAACCAUGCCUCUGUGUUUAUAUUUGACAUCUUCAGCACCUCCGCAGAGCUCACAUCUCGCGAAAGAACUCCCGAAACAUAUCUCGAAUGAAACAUCUCACAAUCGAAGAAGGAUAUGAGACGACAACUCAUCACCUUCCUCCCCACUAUACACAAACUCAUAAAAGUACCAUUUGAUUAUCUUAUCAUAAAAAAAAGCCGCAGAGCGGCAGGGAUUCAAAGCCACACACGGCCAGUCCCGAAAUACAAAAUAAGGCCAUUCAAGGCCGAAAC
This 363-nucleotide long non-coding RNA is filed under the name Brassica napus (rape). Its description in RNAcentral is "long non-coding RNA (BNAP_LNC005886)". Lineage: Eukaryota; Viridiplantae; Streptophyta; Magnoliopsida; Brassicales; Brassicaceae. The record is from RNAcentral.